AAAAAAAAAAGUAAACUUCAAAUGCCAUCAUAUAGUUUCAUACUUUCUCACUUUAGUACAUGUAGUUUAAAUUGUAUCAAGUUAGUGUUCUGUGGUUUUAUUUUUCUCUUUUCGUCAGCUUCUCCGUUAAUAUUUUAUUAAAUUAUAUACAAAAAAUUUCAGAUAUCCUACCUAGAUAUAUUUAUUGAAUAUUCACUUUCUUCCCCUUUAGUUUUAACUUUGUCACUGAUUUAACAGAAAAAAAUAGUGGAAUCGAUAAUAAAAAGAUAAAAAUGAAACCACAUGACACUAAAUUGAUAGACUUUAAAUCUCAGGAUACUAAACUGAGAAAGUGUGAAACGACAUGAGAGUUUUUCCAAAAAAAAGUACAUGAAACACCACACUGACUCCAAUAGUAAACACCAUGAGAAGAAUACAGUAUAAAUACUAUUAAUAAGAUAUAAUAUUAUUAUUUGUGACAAUAUAUAUAUUUAUUUGAGUAUGACUGGUACACUAUCAUUAGCACGGAGGCCUUCGUAGUAGCAAAUUAUUUUCACUGAUACAGCUUCCAAAUCGACGAUCGGCUCUGUUGAACUUAAUCUAUACUAUUGAAAGUAUUUGCAAACUAAAUUUUAUAAUUUUUCAACAUCAUCUACCUAUUCAAACGAGUAGUCUAAAUAUAAAAAUUUUAUAAAAAAUGAUGAUAAAAAGGUUUAAAAUUAAGAUAAGAGAUACUAACCUUACUCUAAAUAGUGAAAAGAAUUUUCUAUAAAACUUUCAUCUUAUUUUACAUCGUUAAAUUCAAAAGCACAUCACAUCGAUCAUUAAAAUUGUCAAUUUUGAAAUCUUUUGCUCACUAGCCGAAUAAUGUCGAAAAAUUAUGAAAUUUAGUUUUCAAAUACUUUCAGCAGUAUAGAUCAAGUUAAAUGAAAUCGACCGUCGAUUUGUAAGUUGCAUUAUUGAAAAUAACUAGGUAGCAUGGAGGCCUCUAUGCUACCAGUAGUAUAGCAGCCUAACUCAUUAGAGUCCGGCUGCUAUAUUAUAGGUAGUAAAGAGGCCUCCGUGCUACUAAUAGAAAUGAAAAUAAUAAUUUUGACAAAAUAUUGUUAUAUUUCUCAUAGGAAUAAAAAUAACAAAAAUUUUAUUAAUAGUUCAUACAUUUUUUUAAAAAAAUUCACUAUACAAAAUUUAUUUAUAUUUUUUAAAAACAAUUAUAUGUAUUCAUAAAA
RNAcentral lists this long non-coding RNA (1208 nucleotides) under Ananas comosus (pineapple). Its description in RNAcentral is "long non-coding RNA (ACOM_LNC009389)". The record is from RNAcentral. Lineage: Eukaryota; Viridiplantae; Streptophyta; Magnoliopsida; Poales; Bromeliaceae.